UAAGCAAUCUGCCCUUCACAUCGGCAUAACCAUUGGAAACGAUGGCUAAUACCGAAUAUGACUUCGGAUCGCAUGAUCUGAAGUGGAAAGCUCCGGCGGUGAAGGAUGAGCUCGCGGCCUAUCAGCUUGUUGGUGAGGUAAUAGCUCACCAAGGCGAUGACGGGUAGCCGGCCUGAGAGGGUGACCGGCCACACUGGGACUGAGACACGGCAGA
This 214-nucleotide ribosomal RNA is filed under the name uncultured bacterium. RNAcentral describes it as "partial 16S ribosomal RNA". It matches the Rfam family "Bacterial small subunit ribosomal RNA", at positions 118 to 335 of the family's 1533-position model. The record is from RNAcentral.